UCCAAGUUUAGAACACCAUUAUUUAAACACAAAGCGCAUCAUAUUAGACAAGACUUUAAUGAGAAUAACAAUGAUCAAGAAAAAUUACCGCUUUUUAAUCAGGGCCAUUGGCUUCCGCUUCAAUCCCUUCUGAAAUCUAGAGUAGCAAAAGG
Long non-coding RNA from Juglans microcarpa x Juglans regia, 152 nucleotides. RefSeq lists it as uncharacterized. NCBI's taxonomy places the organism in Eukaryota, Viridiplantae, Streptophyta, Magnoliopsida, Fagales, Juglandaceae. The transcript is spliced from 3 exons. The record is from RefSeq and is a predicted model, not a curated record.